Mesocricetus auratus (golden hamster) is the source of this 942-nucleotide long non-coding RNA. RefSeq lists it as uncharacterized. The transcript has 3 exons. The record is from RefSeq and is a predicted model, not a curated record. NCBI's taxonomy places the organism in Eukaryota, Metazoa, Chordata, Mammalia, Rodentia, Cricetidae.
GAGGAAUAUAGGCAGGAGGAGACAAGAGCUUGAUCUCUUUUCAGUCUGAGGAUUUCAUAGAGGUGGACAAUGAAUGCACUUACCUUCUGAGUCAGAAGAGAAAGAAUGGACACAGUAUUACGGAGAGCAUGUGUACGCUAGGCUCGGGAGGUACUUCUCUGUGGAAGAAAUAUUUUGAUGGUUCGGAAUUCCUGGUGUUGCCUUAACUGCCUCACGUUCAUGGGACUGGCUUCAGAUCUAAGAUGGAGUAAAGGCACUUUGGCUAAGCCUGAUAGCCUGAGUUCAAUCCCUGGGACCCACAUAGUGGGAGGAGAGAAUGACUCCUGUAAGCUGCCCUUUGGCUUUCACAUGUACACUGUGAGUGGUGAUAACCUGGCCUCUCCCUCUCCCUGGGUCCUGGGCAAGCUGGCCCUAUUCCUGUGCCCAACUCCUCUCCUCCCGCCCUGUGGUUUCUCCUCAGCACCUGCCUGUCACUCCUCACCAGCCCUCUCCUGGGCCUGGGCCUUCUCCUUAGGGAACUUUGCCUGGUUGUGGGACCUGCAAUCCUCAGGCUCUCUCCCCACCCAGGGAUGGCUCUUCUCUGUGCUAUCUUCCCCCACCCUGGGAUCUGUCUUUGACAGGUGAUAGCGCCUCACUGACAGCUGUCAAAGGUUGCAAGGCUGCAUUGUGCAUGCGUUAGGUGGCUGCAUAUGGAUUCUGCGUGCGGAAACCAACACAGCUGCAUUUGUUAGGUGGUUGCAUAAGGACUCUACAUGCAGACACCCUGUGGAACUGGGGCCGUGAGGAGCGGGGCCAACGGCAGCUCCCUGACUCCAGUUUCAACGGCCCCAACUGCUGAGACUCUAAGCCAGUCCUGUUCCCUAUAUAAGCAAGAGCCUCCUGCCUGUUCUCUUCUUUCCAUUUCUGCUCCCUUUCCCAAUAAACUCGAUGUGGGUUUGCUGA